Petromyzon marinus (sea lamprey) is the source of this 10181-nucleotide long non-coding RNA. RefSeq lists it as uncharacterized. The record is from RefSeq and is a predicted model, not a curated record. NCBI's taxonomy places the organism in Eukaryota, Metazoa, Chordata, Hyperoartia, Petromyzontiformes, Petromyzontidae.
AACAAUAAUUAUUUUUAUCUUUUAAAAUAUCCAAUCGAUUUUUUUUUACAAAUCUGCCAUAUAUUAUUUUUUUUAUUAUCAAAUGAACAUCAUCUAUCGGAGCAGAAUAUCUCAAUGGGAAGCCCAGUGGCUGAAAUAACGAGAUUGGUGUCAUCUCGAGCUUUCGUUUCGUUGCCGCGGCUGCAUGGCGCUGUCCGUGGUGCUGCUGACCGCUGUCCGUGGUGCUGAAACCUCUCUCCCACUCACAACCAACGGCGUCCGCUUGCUGUGGUUUCCCCGUUCGCCUCGUCGUGACGCGCACCAAUCAUCGCCCGCUCCGUGUAAUACGAGCGGUGGGCGCUUAAUAGCUACCAAUAGGGAACUGUUCGCAUGCCAAUUUUUUGUUUGUUUAAACUGUUCAUCAGAAAUUUUUUUUUUCUUAUCAGGCCCCAUGGAUGUACUCUGAAUUUUGCUGUCUGAAACUCUUACCCAAUCUUAUGUCUCUGCUAUGAAGAAGGACCAUUUCCCAAAACGUCGCUUAUUAUGUUUUUUUUUUACAUUUCAAGGUCACAGCGUUAUUCGCGAAUGUGUUGAGUUUUGUUGUUGUUGUUAUUAUUUUUUGUUAUUCGUGCUCCUGAACCAAUGCCAAUGCAGUAUCACCAAAUCAUCUGCCGGACGAGAGCGUCGUGGGGGCUGGUCAGUGCGGGUAUGAGGUGGUCGGUGUGUAUAGGAUGCGGGAGCAUACAAAGUACGUUACAACAAUGGAUUAAUCUGCACUGCCAUGUCGCCCGGCAGACGAUGCCAACCGUUGGUGCAUUCGUGGUCCCCCCAUCCGAAUACUAUUUUGGCUCUAGCCUGCUUAGCUUCCGAGGACCUGGCACGCAUAGUCAAUGGCUUGCCUAUGCAAAUACUGUCUUAGAAUUGACUGUACAAUAGUACAAUAGUUUGUAGUAUCCGUAUAUGCGUGGUGAACGCUGGUGUGCACAAUAGCGCAGCGGUGAAUGUCAGCUGAACACCGCCUGAAACACCUCUAAGCCGACUCGGCAUGAAACUGGUACCCGAUCACUCUUCUUGUCACCGUCGUCACUCGAACGACACAUGAGGCUGUGCGUGUGCGUAGCCCGGUAGGCUGGAAAGGGUGUAAUCUUUCGUCUUAAUAUCCGCGCAAUUGACAAUUGAUUCACCUUUUCCCCCAUUAAUUCUCAAGGCUGUUUACGUUACACUAGCAGAGCAAUUGGCUCAUUUGCAAGCGAGGAAACAAUGUUCGCGACACGCAAGGUGAUACAUGCAAUCAAGAGGUGAUCCGGACCGACCCUGCGGGGCAACGCCGCAGCUGCUGUGAGUGUGUGCGCCGGGGGCAUCUGAUGGAUGCCCCCGGACCAGCGAAUCGAGUUAUUUAAUCAGCUUUUGGCGGCUUCGAAUUGGAUUCACUGGUUGUGGCGUGGAGUUUGAAAGGGGGGGGGGGGAAACAAGACGACCGCGGUGUUCAGUAAGUAAAUAACUAAACAAGUGAAUGCGCAGAGGCAGGGAUUUUCCGCCGUGUUGAGUGCGAUGUUGGAACGCUUUGUGCCUGCCUGACGGAGUGGCGAAGCAUCGCAGAGAGAUAUCUUAAAUGGGCGUGAGGUAGGUGGUGGAGACGCGGGGCUGGGAAACUAAAAAGUUGCACGUUUCAGUAGCUGCGAGGGAAAUAAGAAAAUGCUGAUGCAGAUCGCAGGAUGCCAGAAAAAUUAACAAAAUAACUCAGCCAGUCUGCAGAUGCUGCACGUUCCCUUUUUGACACAAGUGUCAUACCGUGGUGGAGUGUUGGCGCAAGUGGGCUAGCACACUCUGCAGCAAACCCGGCGACCUGAGUUCAAUUCCCGGCCACAGAAAACGUCAGCGGUGACUCAUAAUAUCUUGAACCCUAUGUUGGGUAACCCCCACCACCCCCCCCCCCCCAACCUAUUUAUUUUCAUCAACUUGAAGUUUGGUCAAGCAAACCGCAUAAGGAGGCCAUCAUCCAGCAUUAGAUUGACAAAGGGCUGUAAAGUGUUUUGUAUGUAUGUAAUUCUUUAUACUUCAAUUAAACGCAAUGUAUUUAGUUUGAACUUCUUUCACACCGUACGUAGCCAAUCGUAGGUGUUAUAAACACUACUCUGAAUACGUUAAUAGAUGGAUGAAUUCUGAGAUUGGCUUCUGUAAGCAGUGCAAAUGAAGGCAUGCUUGUAAUUUGUAAAAGGAGUCGUGACAUUUUUAGCCGCUUUGUCAUUUUUGUACAACGUUUGUAUCUUAUUUACUUGUGUAUAUUUUUUUCUGAUUUCCCCUUGCUAAGGGAACCAUGUGUCUCAAUGGACUCUCACAUAGUUGUAACUACAGGUUUGAUGUCCUUGGCACAUACCGAAAUUUUCAGAAAAUGCCAGUAUGCAACCAAGAUAGAAAGGAAGCUACUCAGGUAUGCGGAAGAGGCAGGUAAAUAUAUAUCUUUUUUAUUUUAAAUUACAGCUUAUGUUUUGCUCAAUGUAAAACCACAUUUCAUAGAGUAGUCACUCGUGUUCCGGUUUCCUCUGAGAUGUAUAACACUGGUUAAUCGACUGAAAAUGUCUUUAUAUAUAUGUGUGUAGAAGACUGCAGAGCUCUGGAAAAUGCUGCCGCUGGCUCUGGCUGCCAUCUCCCUGGGUUUAUGGUUUCCCGCACCACGAACGAAAACUACGGAGAGCGCCAUAAAUGUAUUUUUACUAACCUUGUUGGGACUUCACAGUAAAGUGGAACCAUCAUCGCAUGUUGUAGUGCAUGAUGCUGAGUGACAAUAUUGCCUUGGGCAUAUUGGAGUCCUUAAAAAGUAAAUGAAAUAAGCCCAGUAGCAUUUGUCCAAUUUGAACAUAUUGGACAUUUUCACGCGACCUUUCGUACGUCCCCUUGUCACUUUUCACACCGCAUGGAAGAGCGGCAAAUCUCAGACGCUUCUCGCGGAAUGCAAUGUGCGAGUGGAAUGCAGGAGGUGGGAAUUGUGUUGCUGUUCGUGAUGUGCGCUCAGGUUAAAACACCGGGGAAAAAUCUACGUUGGCAGCGUCUCAUUAAAAUGCAUCGGCAGGGCAUGUCCUAUUCCACACGUUCCGCGCGUUGCGAGCAAAAUCCACAACGUAGCCAGGAAUAUGACAGCAGGGUUCCCACAGAGACAAUUCCACACAUUCGCACACUUGCAACACGAGGGCUGUUGUACUUUUAAUCGAGGACGAACUCCAAAGUCUGGCUGAGCUGCUAGCUGUUUUCCUUGGAUUAAUAUUAACGCAGAGCCGUCGCCCGCUUGCAUAAAUGGCCUGAAUAAUGGAGUUGAGCAGAAUCAGAAUCACAAUCAGAGUAUGUAUUGACACUGGAGGAAUCCGAUGAGCUAUAAAGCUUGCAUUCAUCGUUGUCCAGUAGAGGCGGGUAAGAACGUUACGACAACAAACUGUACAAAACAUGACAAUAGUGCAAAGUACAAGAGAAGUAAACAAAUCACCCACACACAAACAAAUACAACACAAAACCAUCCCAAUCCUACCAAGAAAAGCCCACUGGAGGUUUUCACUUAUUUUUCAGAAGCAACCUGGUCACAAGUGAUAUCUCAACAAAGUGGCCCAUCGUUUGUUCAUUGAUAGCACCAAAAUAAUCGAAAUAAUCUGAACGCUUGUUUGAAUGAGAUGAAUAUCGUUACCUUUGCCUACGACCAGGUCACACGGAAUGCGCACGAUCUCAUAAGAUCUCAGAAGCUAAGCAGUGUUGAGCAUGGCUGGUGCUUGAAUGGGUGACCGCUGUGAACAGCGUGUUGCUAUAGGCUGCUGUGCGGCGAGGAGCAGAGAGCAUUACAUCCAAAUCCAUGGUCUCACUGUAGUUUCUUGAAACCCAAGUCUAUGCUCGCUGCCUUGAAGCAUCCUGCAACCUAUCAGCGCGGUGGAAUGUGGUCAAAUAACCCCCACGGCCAUCGAUGUGUGGAGAGGCUCUCACCCAGCAGCCGGCCGGUAGAAGGGCAGUUUCAUCUUCUCGUCCAGUCGGAGACGUCAUGCAGCCCGGGGUGCUUAGAGAGAGAGCCCUUGUCAGCUGUGUCCAAUUAAUGUGAAAAGUAUGAGAACCUAUAAAUAAUUUAAUUAACUGACAUGGGUACAUACGACACAGCUGUUCUUGGGUGGGUGUGUGGGGGGGAAGAAGAUUUCGUCCGCUUUGUGUUUGCUAUUCACGUUGAAAAUUCGGAACGAGCCCCUCCUCGUGUGCUUGCUGGACAUGCGAGGCAUGCGCAACUUGGCGCACCGGGGUCCGAGCGCUCACCGUCCUUACCCAAGCGUGCCGGCAGCUGUUUAACGUGCGCCGCAUAGCCCGCGCACAAGUGGAAAAAUUCCGCCGGCAUGGAACGCCGAGCCGCAUCGAGGCCCCCUGAAGGAACGGGGUUUUGCUGCCCCUGCAAUGUGCUAGAAAUUGGGAACGAAAGAAAAAGGUGGCGUAGCUCUCCCUGAGCCGUUUGCAGCCUCAGCAUCUGCCAGGGUCACUUUCACGAGACGCGUUCCGUCUGUUCGAUGCCUUUGGCUGGAAAACCAUUACGUGACGUCUGCAAAAAUAAUAAUAAUGGUUCAAGCUUCCCGAUUGAAUCGCCUAAAAUACCAGAGGCUGAACAUCACGGAGAUGGACUGACACGGUACUGGGUAUGAUCUUUUGAAAAGAGAAGUGACAGCUCCUGGCAGCUUCCCGUAGGUAAUAGAGGGAGGAUGAUGAGACAGUGCUCACAGACAACAAAGUGACAACGUACAAGUCACGAUCUGUUCAUCGGCGAAGCUUUUAAGAAGCACGGCCCCUGCACGAUUACUUUGGUACCGGCUUUUGUUGCAUUGCAGGACCACGCGAGAUUUUUAUCGGCUUGGGGAGGAAGGGGAGGUCUUCAUGCAGCAGUGGCUUGAUCAUGGCUAAUGGUAAUGAGUGGUUUGUGAGAGAGGGUAUGAGUGAUUGGGGGGUGAGAGGGAGGUUCGAGAACAUGUGUCUGGGUCGUGUGUCACGGUGGUGUAGGAGUGUGUGGGUUAUUAAAUUAUACAAAUGCAUCCCCCCUUUUUCUUGCACUGAGAGCAUCCAUCACUAGUCAAUGCCAAGCACGGACGCGCGCCCAGGCUUUGAAAGAUGCAUGCGUGACAGAUGUCCAGGUGUUGGGGCUCACGGAGCUUUGUGCGAGCAGAUGUUGGGGUGCGUGAGCACGUGCGUGAAUUUGGGAGCAUUUGGUCAGGGUAGGCCAAAGCUAUUGAGUCACCCGGCAAUGUUCCUGAGACUUUCUCACCCACCCCCCGGCUUCAUUUACCUGUGUGUCUCGCAAUGAUUCACGCAUCGCGCUGAGGAGCACAACGUGUGUCCACAAACAAUUCGCUAUUAUGGCUAUUGACUUAUGCAAAGCAUUGAGAUCAAAGACUUUACAAAUACAUUUCUGGCGAUUCUGAUUUUUCUAAAAUACGCUUCAUGGUUUGGUUUGUUUCUUUGCCGUUUAAUAACGCAUAACUGUGACAUCUUACCCCAAUCGAAGGAUACUUAGGGGUCGCUGCAGUGGUCCUUAUUUAAGCGUCCUUAUUUUAAAUAAGGACUAUGGUUUUUACAAGGGCCACCCGAAUGUGUAUACAGGGUGCUUUAAAAAAAUAUUAACACUUCCGAGAAUUUGCAACAACCCCACGUGACACGUGCUGCCUCCUCCGAGCUCUGGAGACCACCUGGAGAAGAUUCCAGGCCACGUGUUGACAACGAUGGCGAACAAGUGGGAGACUCUUUGAAGCUAUUAACAUUACAUUUGUUAUCAUGUUACAGUGUAUAUUAUCAUACUUUUUUCCAUUAAAAACGAUAGUCCAAUGUAAAUGUUAACAUUUUUUUAAAAGCACUCUGUCUAUAGAUUACUUAUGCGUGUGAUUAUAACGCUUGGCUGAUGCACACAAGGACGUGAAUACCUCUUUGAAGAGCAGCAAUUCAAUUGCGCUCACAGCCUCUUAAAAAUGAACUCAUGCGGUUUCCACGAUGCCUUCGACAGAAUUACGGCGGGGGAUGAUGCUGAUGAUGACGACGACGAUUGAUGUAAAUGACAAAGAUGACAUUGGGGAGGGGGGGGGGGGGGUUGGUCUUCGGAGAGGCACUCUGCACCAUGUCACUGAGAGGGCUGCGUCACAUUGUCCCUACAAAUAGUUUUAAGACUUUACCCCACCCCCACUCUCCCCCCCUCCCCCGCCCUUCCCAAAUCGUGUUUUUGGGCACAUCACCAACGUGGUGUCUGGAGAUGGAGGGAGUCGUUCGAAAAUCUCACGGAGCGUGUUGGAGAACGGCCCGGGGGAGCGAUUUUGGUCCAGAUGUCGGAGAACACUCCUUGAUUCAUGGCCUCGCUGUCCUUUGCACAGGACGAGGUGAAUUUCCCCACACGCUCUGCUGUGAGACUGUUUGGCAGUAUGACGGUGAAACUGAUAGUAUUAAAAUGUUUUUGUCGUACUCGGGGCUGAGAUAUCGACCCAAAUAAAAUCUGAAUGUCUUUUUUUGGUGUUUCGGUCCAUCCAUUGUUGACGAAACUGAGACCAUCGACUCUCUGCGCCAGAAAAAAAAUUCACGGUUUAAUCACGGGCGGUUGCAGCCUGGACUCCAAAUGGAGUAUCUCAUACUAUUUGGUUAUUUCGGUAAAGUCAGGUAGAUAUAAAUAAUAACUAAUAUUGGAGAGUCUCAGUCGCGCCAGCUCGGGAACCUGAGAGCGAGCCGGUCACAUCUCUAUUUGCGAACGGUUUUUGAAAAAAAAAAACGCUUACCGCCGGUUACGGGAAAUCAGCUUCUGCACGUCCGCACAAUGCGCCAAUGCUCCACAUCUUCACGCGUUCAAAGGUGGGGGCACUUUCAUUUUGCGCGAUUUUAGCGACCGACGUGAAACGAAACCGGAUUCGAGCGGUUGCUCCCUACAAGUCCUCGAAUGUGCCCGUCCGCACGGUGCCGCUGGGGGUUUUGUUGUUGUUGUUGUUGUGAAUCCGACGCAAUGCAGCCGCCCACGUGGUCUCGUGCACGAUGAUGGAUGGACAGCGACGGGGCGCCUCUCGGUAGAUCCUCUGAACGAGACGGGGUGAGCCACCCGGGCUCAGCAAGGGGGUGGGGGGGGGGGGGCGUUACGAGCUGGUCCCUAACUGACAGCAGCUGCUCCCCAUGCCUCAGGGUCCGUCAUAGAAAAGGAGACAUCUCGAAGCCUGCCCUUGCUAAAAAAAACAAAAAACGAAAAUCCGAGUGCAAAUGGCUCGCUAAGUGUGUACAAGUGCGUGUGCGUGCGUGCGUGUGGUCGUGUUUGUGUGUGUCUGUGUGUCCUUUGUGUCUGUGUGUGGAGCGGUGGUGAAUUGCUUUGCGCACCAAACUAAGAACCCGGCGGGCACGAGUUUGAUUCCCGCUCAAGAGACCAAUAAUAAUGGCGAAUAUAAAACAUCGUGGUCCUGGGCCUCCCCCAGGAAGACUCGGCCUCAAAUGAGUACCUGGUGGACAAAACUUGCCCCAAAAGUCUAUUAAGGCUAUAGGGGUAUCUUUAUCUUUUGUUUGUGUUUGGGUCCAACGGGAGUGUAUUGCUUACUUGGCUACCACCUGGGCAGACAUGACAUCGGCUCUUAUACCACAGUUUACAUCAGCGGCGAUUCAUCUGAACCGGACCUCGGCCUCCCCUAUGUCGACUCAGCCGUAAAUGAGUACCUUAAUCGGUGUGCAAAUCAUUGGCAUACGUGUAGACAGGCGGUCGAUUGUGGUAGUGACCACACCACUGCCUCGUAUGCUGUGUCAGCCUUAGUCGGUGCUCGCUAACAGCCUGUGAAAUCCCUAUGUGGGAGCGGCUGUCUUUUGUCUUUGUUUUUUAAAUUAAAGAGCCGGUUCUCAGAUGAUGAAAUGUAUUAGGGGAACACAUCCUACUGAUAUUGCAGCUGUUGAGAAUACCGGGGCAGAUUGCUGUAGACUUUUGGCUUGAUCCGUUUAAGGGUUUUACAUAUGCAAUACAUUUCUUUGCGGUGACAUUAAAAUUUGAAAAUAAAAAUUAGCCGGAUUUAUUUUGCAUAUUGAAAGUAGAAAUCCAUAUUAAGCUUCUCAAGCAUAGGUGCGGGAUGAAAUGUAAUUUAACUGUACAUUGUGUGGCUACAAGUCAUAUACUGUUGCCAUCCUUUAAGCCUAAAUCCAUGAAACAAAAAUCCAAAACGGAAAAAAAAACAUUUAGAUUUUCGGGGUAAGUGUUAUUUCUGUACUCUGUCAUGGAAGGAUUCAAAGCCUGGCAAAGCAAGAUUCACUUCGUUUUUAUUUUUUUCCGCCGCUGUCUCAUAUUGAUCUUGACCUUUACACUUUAACUUAUUAGUCACAAUGCCUGUCAGUUUAUCAUGUCAGCGCUGUUUGCUGUAUCUCCUAGCUCACGCGCACACAUAUAUUAUACAUAACGCCCCAUUGAAGUUGAAGGCAAUUUGCUUACAGAGGCGUGUGCACUCUACAGAGGGCUGACCUUAUCUUUAUGGAAUAUGUAAAAGGUAAAGGCGCAGCCCUGAUCUUGCCUCGUGGAAGGACCUCCACGACACACACAGAGAGAGAGUGAGUGCUCUCUCGAGAAUAGUUUGGCCCACUCUCCUACACUGGGCCACAUGUCUCGAGGCAGAAGUAAUCACAAUUGACCCCACCGUAGGUGACCUGCCCAUCGGCUAACUGCUGUGUAACCCAUUAAUACCGCUGGGUGAAAACGAAAGAUUGAAUAACCUUUUUGGUAUUCUUUGGUUCUAUCGGUAAAGUCACGUAGAUAGAAAAACAAGAAUGAAAAUAAACCUUUUUGGAUUCCACCGUUUCAACCGCCAAUGCUGGAAAAAAAAUCCAGAAUCGAACCGGCGAUCCACUGGAUUGCGAGUCCUGUGUCGCUAACCACGAGACCGUGGCAGCACACCGUGAUUAGAUCUAAAUAAAGGUGUAAACGUGCAUUAGGCACCUCCACCGGGCGCCCGCGCGCACGCCGAGGUUCCUAAUGAAUGCGCAGUCACGCUGCGCGUGAGCGCGCAUCAGCGCCACAGACUUGUCUCCACCGCAGAUCGAUCUGCUCGAGCACAGACGCAUUCCGGUAAUGCAUCAAGGCUUUCCCCGCACAAAUGUGUGUGUGUGUGUGUGUCCGCCUUCACUUCCCCUCACCCACGCUCUCUUGCCCCUGGUGAUCCCUCCCUUUGAGCGCGUCUUGUAAUCUUCACCUGGCUCCUGAUCCACCAUGGAAGGCUAACAAAGGCUACGGAAGCAACUCGCUCACCGAUGUUUGUGCGCCAAGUCGACGGGCGGUGCUCGCGGCUCUUCCAAGACGUCUGGCCAGCGCCGAUAUACUGGACCCGCUACGGUCUGUAAGUUGCCUGCAUCAGUUUUGCUGUCCAGCUCCUCCCUUGUUCAGUCCCUCACUAGCCUCUCCCGCAGAAAUCUCUCAGUGCAGGAGCCCAGACAAUUCCCUCCAUCAAUUCUGCUGCCCUGCCGCAGAGCCCAGCAGCCCCUCGUCGAGGUAAAAUAAAACAAACCCCACCACAAGUGUGGGCCGCCCCGAAAUCCUCGCCACGGCAUGAAGCUAUCCACGUGCCGACGGAGCCCGCCCAUCAUCUUUCUACGGCACGAAUGUUCCUACGCAACGCUCCUUCUUAUUGCUUCACUUUUUUGUUUAUUAUUAUUUACUCCCCCACCCACUCAGAUGACUUUAAAAUUCGCCGAGAAAGCCAGACGACGUUUUUCUCUCGCUUCUUUAUUCAAUGUUGCGGACGGCACUGCAAUGAUGGAUCUGAACAUUACAUUUAGGAGUGUAUCAAUAUAUCUAUUUAGUCAUUAACUGAACAAAUUAUUUUAUAACACUUUUCAUUAAGAUUGUUUCUCUAUCUCUCUAAUUUAGCGAUAACCGCGUUGAUGUGGCAUUCGAGCGCGGGCUUUUCAUUUCCGUUCUUGCUCUUCGGCCAGUAAUAUUUCUUUGCUUCGAAUGAAUGGCCUUAUGCAAAAAUGUGGCGACGCGCGUGGUGAUGCUGUAAACCAGGGGACAUUUCGAUCACCCUGCCGGUGUUUGCCGAUAGCUGCUGCAGUUCACGUGCGUCCUGGGUCACUGUGUUCUGGGCCACCUAGAGGUGGGGGGGGGGGGGGAAUAUGUCCCGGGCCUCACACACAAAACAAAGCCCCACAACGGGACUUUUGUAUGAAAAAUAAGAAUAGGUAUAUACCCUUUAUGGCAAUACAUCAGGUGU